This is a long non-coding RNA of Xiphophorus hellerii (green swordtail), 566 nucleotides long. RefSeq lists it as uncharacterized. The record is from RefSeq and is a predicted model, not a curated record. The transcript is spliced from 2 exons. NCBI's taxonomy places the organism in Eukaryota, Metazoa, Chordata, Actinopteri, Cyprinodontiformes, Poeciliidae.
GUAGAUGGCAGCAGAGCACCUCUUGAACUUCAGGAUGGAUCCAGAGUGUUUAAGGCCUUCAGUCCCUCAAUCUUUAAUCUGGUCCCGUUUCCAGAAGGAAAGUUAAGUUUAGUCCUGCUAACGGAGCUGACCGAGUCAGGGAGACUAGAUUACUGCAACUCAAGAUAAAACAAAAAGUCAAGUAGCAACAACUGGAGUACCAGGUGUAAACAUUUUAUUUCAGAUCAUGAAUUUUACAAUGAUUUAAUACUUUGGAAAGUUUCAGUGGCUGUUUUCAUGUAUUCAGUCACUACAGACACAGUUGAUCAUCCAGGUGGUGAAUCUCUGAACAAACUGGGUCACGAUUUGAAGUUACUGAAGUUCCUGUCCUGAGUUCAUGUCAGGCUGAACUGAAACCAUUGCUGUUGGUCUUGUUUGGGGAUGUUUGAGUCCGUUUACACAAGAGGAACCAGACGACCUUCUGGCUGGACGCAGCAGUAGAAAAGCAGAUGGACCGCCGGGACAGGGAGGACGUCUAGAAACACUUUCUGUGGACGAUGGCUGGACCGGACUCAUCGUACUCCUGC